UUAGAUUUUAUUUAUUAAUUUUAUUUAUUUAUUUAAUUUAUUUAAUAAAAAUAAUUUUAAAAUUUUAAGUUUUAGUAUUUUAUAAAGAAAAAAUAAUUUUAAUUAUAGUUUAUUUGUAUUGUAAAAGAAAAUUGAAAUAAUUUGAAAAAUUUUUAUUUUAAAAGAAAAUUUAAUUUAUUGUACCUUGUGUAUCAGGGUUUAUUAAUUAAAAAAUUAUUAUAUUAAUUUUUCUCGAAUUUUAAAGAUUUAAUUAUAUAUAAAAGUUACUGUGGAAUAAUUAUUUUUAAUAUAUAAUUAGAAAUGAAAUGUUAAUCGUUUUAAAAUAUAUCUAGUUUUUUAAGAAAUAAAUUUAAUUUAGAUUUAUAAAUUUAAAUUAUUUAAUUAUUUUAAAUAAUUUAUUUUAUAAAAUUAAUAUUUUAAGGGAUUAGCUUUAAAAUAAAUUUUUAAAUUUUAAAUUAAUUAUUUAAUAAAUAUAAGCUUAAAAAUAGCUAUUAUUAAUAAAUUUGUUAUAAUUUAUUUUAAAAAUUUAAUUAUUUAAUAUAAAAUUAAAUUAUUUAUUAAAAUAUAAAUUUUAAUAAUAAAAAUUUAUAAAUUAUGAUAAAAUUAGUAUAUAAAAUUUUUAUAAAUAAUUAUUUAUGAAAGGUUUAAAUAAGGAAUUCGGCAAAAUAUAUAUUUACCUGUUUAUCAAAAACAUGUCUUUUUGAAUUGAAUUUAAAGUCUAACCUGCCCACUGAUAAAAAUUAAAGGGCCGCGGUAUCUUGACCGUGCAAAGGUAGCAUAAUCAUUAGUUUUUUAAUUGGAGGCUUGUAUGAAUGGUUGAAUAAGAUAUAUACUGUCUUUUUUAAAAUUAUAUAGAAUUUUAUUUUUUAAUUAAAAAGUUAAAAUAAAAUUAAAGGACGAGAAGACCCUAUAGAUCUUUAUUUUUGUUAUUUAUAAAUUAAAAAGAAUUUUAAAAUUUAUAAUUUAAUAAAAAAUUUUAUUGGGGUGAUAUUAAAAUUUAAAAAACUUUUAAAAUUUAUUAACAUUAAUAUAUGAAUAAAUGAUCCAGUUUUAUUGAUUAAAAAUUUAAGUUACCUUAGGGAUAACAGCGUAAUUUUUUUUUAGAGUUCAUAUCGACAAAAAAGAUUGCGACCUCGAUGUUGGAUUAAGAGUUAUUUUUAGGUGUAGAAGUUUAAAGUUUAGGUCUGUUCGACCUUUGAAUUCUUACAUGAUCUGAGUUCAAACCGGCGUAAGCCAGGUUGGUUUCUAUCCUUAAUUAAUUAUUAUAUUAUAGUACGAAAGGACCUAAUAUAAAAAAUAUAGAUUUUAAUGAUAUGAUUAAUAUUAAUAUUAUUUA
RNAcentral lists this ribosomal RNA (1336 nucleotides) under Culex chidesteri. Its description in RNAcentral is "16S ribosomal RNA". The stretch from base 1081 to 1240 matches the Rfam family "Archaeal large subunit ribosomal RNA", at positions 2544 to 2703 of the family's 2987-position model. The record is from RNAcentral. Lineage: Eukaryota; Metazoa; Arthropoda; Insecta; Diptera; Culicidae.